Molecule: ribosomal RNA, 477 nt
Filed under: Amazophrynella vote
Lineage: Eukaryota; Metazoa; Chordata; Amphibia; Anura; Bufonidae
Description: partial 16S ribosomal RNA
Rfam family: Bacterial large subunit ribosomal RNA
Source: RNAcentral
UAAGGGAGGGGGAAUCCCUAACCGUGCGAAGGUAGCGUAAUCACUUGCUCUCUAAAUCAGGACUUGUAUGAACGGCACCACGAGGGUUAUACUGUCUCCUUUUUCCAAUUAGUGAACUUAAUCUUCCCGUGAAGAAGCGGGAAUGACCUUAUAAGACGAGAAGACCCUAUGGAGCUUUAAACAUUUAGCAUCUGCACAUACCUUAAUAUUUCAGAAAUUAUUAGCCCGCAUAAUGACUAGAAGUUUUAGGUUGGGGUGACCACGGAGUAAAACGCAUCCUCCACGAUGAAAGACCUACACUUCUUAACUAAGAAACACAUCUCUAAGUAUCAGCACACUGACAUUUAUUGACCCAAUACACUUGAUCAACGAACCAAGUUACCCUAGGGAUAACAGCGCAAUCCAUUUUAAGAGCUCCUAUCGCCAAAUGGGUUUACGACCUCGAUGUUGGAUCAGGGUAACCCAGCCGCUCUAAAG